UUGAACGCUGGCGGCAUGCUUUACACAUGCAAGUCGAACGGCAGCGGGGGCUUCGGCCUGCCGGCGAGUGGCGAACGGGUGAGUAAUGCAUCGGAACGUACCCAGUCGUGGGGGAUAACUACGCGAAAGCGUAGCUAAUACCGCAUACGCCCUGAGGGGGAAAGCGGGGGACCUUCGGGCCUCGCGCGAUUGGAGCGGCUGAUGUCGGAUUAGCUAGUUGGUGGGGUAAAGGCCUACCAAGGCGACGAUCCGUAGCUGGUCUGAGAGGAUGAUCAGCCACACUGGGACUGAGACACGGCCCAGACUCCUACGGGAGGCAGCAGUGGGGAAUUUUGGACAAUGGGCGCAAGCCUGAUCCAGCCAUGCCGCGUGUGUGAAGAAGGCCUUCGGGUUGUAAAGCACUUUCGGCCGGAACGAAAUCGCCUUUGUUAAUAGCGAAGGUGGAUGACGGUACCGGAAGAAGAAGCACCGGCUAACUACGU
RNAcentral lists this ribosomal RNA (482 nucleotides) under uncultured bacterium. RNAcentral's name for it is "bacterial SSU rRNA". It matches the Rfam family "Bacterial small subunit ribosomal RNA", at positions 29 to 506 of the family's 1533-position model. The record is from RNAcentral.